AUAAAUCAAACAUCUCAAAAUCACUUAAAAACUUUGAUUUUGUGCAAUUGCUUGGAUGAAAGAAUGGUGAAUACAACAAGAAAGUUAAGGCCCUGCACUUCCCAUCCAACUAAAGUUAAGGCCCUACUCUUCCCAACUCCACACACACUUGAACUUAAUUUUCUGCAAAUUCUACCACACAUCAAAUUGAUAUUUUUCAUCUCUUUUCAAUUCUUCAGAUCCACCACAGCAUCACCUUAUCCAAUCCUUAACCAAAACAAUAUAUCUAAAUUUUUUUCCGUUGUAGCUAUAAUUUAUUGCUUUAUCUUAUAUACUUAA
Vicia faba (fava bean) is the source of this 318-nucleotide non-coding RNA. The record is from the annotation of a GenBank genome assembly. Lineage: Eukaryota; Viridiplantae; Streptophyta; Magnoliopsida; Fabales; Fabaceae.